AGGGGAAGCCGGUGGAAGUCCGGCGCUGACCCGCAGCCGUACAGCCGCGCACAGCCCGCGCGGCAAGCCGGAAUGCCU
This 78-nucleotide non-coding RNA is filed under the name Streptomyces alboflavus. The record is from RNAcentral. Lineage: Bacteria; Bacillati; Actinomycetota; Actinomycetes; Kitasatosporales; Streptomycetaceae.